AGCCAAAGGGGACCCCCGCUAAAAUACAUAUACUUAUAUAGUAAAUAUCGGGAUUUUCAUUUUCCGCGGAACUUUCACUUUCCGCGAAAAACCAAGGCCAGCAUAGCCAUAAAAUACUGCAUACAAAUCGAAAUCUAAAAAGCGCGGAACUUUCAUAUAUUUUCCGUCGGAACAAUUAUCUUUCAACCCUGUAGAGAAUGCGGGCUCAAAUAAUCGCGCGGAACCUUAAUAUUAUCUACUCUGUACAAAUAGUAGUGUAUAAAAUCGCGCGGACCUAAUCCACAAAGCGCGGAACACAAAUAUCUUCCGCGAAAAUUAAGCAUUGAAUUACUGUACAAAUCUCGGGUUGCUAUGUAAAUUGCGGGUUGCUAAUGUAAAAUCGCGCGGAAGAUUCAUUACUCCGCGCGAUUUUCAAUAGCAUUGAAUUACUGCACGAAAUUCGGGUUGCUAUGUGGUUACGCGAUAAAAUUUGAUUGGUUCCGACACCUAGAAAGAACCAAUCAAAACUCGCGUCUUAUCCAGCAUUCAUGCAGUCAUCAUGAUGACGGUUGUUUCACAUUAACACAAAACCUUUUAAGGGCGAAAGAGUGAUCAAUUUUGAUGACAUUAGCGAUGAGCUGUAGCAGUGUUCCCAACUUGAACAUCAUCUUCUGUGUACAUAUCUGAGGCAGAGCCAGCUUGCCCAUCUGACCUCUGUUGUGGACAACCGAGUAAGAGCCAGCUUGCAUGUCAUCUGUUGUGGACAUCCGUGUUAGAGCCAGCUUGCACGUCCUCUUUUGUGGACAUCAGUGUUAGUUCUAGCUUGCAUGUCAUCUGUUGUGAACAUCCGUGUAAGAGCCAGCUUGCACGUCAUCUCUUUUGGACAUCAGUGUUAGAGCCAGCUUACACAUCCUCUGUUGUGGACAUCCGUGUAAGUGCUAGCUUGCACGUAAUCUGUUGUGGACAUCUGUGUUAGAGCCAGCUUGCACGUCAUAUGUUUAGGACAUCAGUCAGAGAUAGCUUGCAUGUUAUAUACUUGUGGACAUUAGUCAGAGCCAGCAAGGACAAUCUCUGUUGUGGAUAUCUGUCUUAGAGCUUGCACGUCAUCGGUUGUUCACAUCCUUGUAAUAACCAGCUUGCACAUCAACUGAUGUGGAAAUCUGAGUCAGAGCCAGCUUGCACAUCAUCCGUUGUGGACAUCUCUUUAUGAUUCUACUCUUUGCUUAGAUUGACACUGUGACUUUAGUGUAAUAUGUUACAACCUUAAGCUAUUCCUAUUGUUGAAUAAAAAUAUUGUGUCAUUAAAAUAUAUUUUGUUGGAUAAUUUGUAUGUUGAGUUGUAUUGUUUGGUCAUUGCAAAGUAUCAAGUUAUUUUAAGACAACAAAAAGCUCAUCUUUCAUCAUGUAUUUAUAUUAAAAUUCUUGAAUGUUAGUGAAGGUACAGUUCAUAUAAUUAAAAGCAAUUUUAAUAUGAUUGCUUGUGUUUUAUUGCACAGUGAAUACCAUCUUGUCUUUAUGCUGACAUAUAGAACGGAAAAAUAGUAAACUGUCGUUUUUAUAUGCAAUGGGAUUGUAUAUGAAGACUUGCAUGUUCAGAUGAAAAAAUUGCCAUAAUUUUUCUCUUUAUAUUUUAUUCCUGCUAAAUGGUUGAUGCAAUAAAGUUAAGUCUUUAA
Dreissena polymorpha is the source of this 1652-nucleotide long non-coding RNA. RefSeq lists it as uncharacterized. The transcript has 2 exons. The record is from RefSeq and is a predicted model, not a curated record. NCBI's taxonomy places the organism in Eukaryota, Metazoa, Mollusca, Bivalvia, Myida, Dreissenidae.